Molecule: RNA transcript, 1890 nt
Organism: Daucus carota subsp. sativus
Lineage: Eukaryota; Viridiplantae; Streptophyta; Magnoliopsida; Apiales; Apiaceae
Exons: 10
Source: RefSeq, a predicted model, not a curated record
ACAGGAGGGACGAGGGAGUAUGCUCAGAGACUGUGCUUUUAAGCGCCAAACACCCGCAAUGUUUGGUGAAUCCUAAAAUACUAAAAAGAGCCACCGGAUUAAAAUUUCCCAAACUCCUGGGAUGGCUGUAUCAGACCCAGUUCAGUUGCAGAGAAUUAUAGUAGGAAACAACCAUGGCGAGAAGCUUGUCGGCAUACUACAUGAAACAGGCUCCAAGGAGCUUGUAAUUAUCUGCCAUGGCUUUAGGUCUUCGAAGGAGAGAAUUCCUAUGGUGAACCUUGCUGCUGCUUUUGCAAAUAAUGGAAUUAGUGCCUUCCGCUUUGAUUUUACGGGUAAUGGGGAAAGUGAGGGUUCUUUUCAGUAUGGUAACUAUCGUAGAGAAGCUGAUGAGUUGCGCAAUGUUGUUGAGUUCUUUCAUGCCAAGAAACGUCUCAUUGCUGCUGUUAUAGGGCACAGUAAAGGAGGCAAUGUAGUGCUGCUGUAUGCUUCAAAGUACAGGGAUGUUAGCACAGUUGUCAACAUUUCAGGUCGCUUUAAUCUAGAGAGGGGCAUUGGAGGGCGUUUGGGUAAAGACUUCUUGAAAAGAAUCAAACAAAGUGGUUUUGUUGAUGUUAAAGACAGAAAAGGCAAGAUAGAGUAUCGAGUGACUGAAGCAAGUUUAAUGGAUCGUCUAACAACCGAUAUGCGUGCAGCAUCCCUUGCAAUCCAACGAAACUGCCGGGUCUUGACUGUUCAUGGUUCCAAGGAUGAAAUGAUACCGGUCGAAGAUGCCAUGGAGUUUGGCAAGUACAUUGCAAACCACAGACUGUUCGUUAUAGAACUAGCAGACCAUGAAUAUACUUCACAUCAAGAUGAAUUAGCUUCAGUGGUUCUGGAAUUCGUGAGUCAGAAUCAUAAGGACGAGUCUCUUCCUGAUCAGCUGUCAUGCAGAAAAGCAGGAAGAAUUGUUCGACCACGCAUUUGAUUAAAAGGAUAAUUCGAGAACGCAACUGAUUCUCUAGUAAAUUAUACUUGGGAGAGUCUGAGGAGCUCGUCCCUGGCCAUUGAUGGCCAGGAAUGGCCAGGGACGUUUUAUUCGGCCAGCUAUGAUCCAACGGCUGAGAUUAAAUAUUCGCUUCAAGUUACCAGCUCUUUUUUGGCUUGAAGGUGAAAUUUUAAAAAUAUUUACGAAAAUACCAUUAGUGCUUCCGGCUUAAAAAAAGAGCUGGUAGACUGGUUCGAUUCAAAAGAAAGGUCCUCUAAAACCCUACUCAAUCUCCCGCUUAGAAGUUAACCAUCAUUUUCAAGGCUGCCAGCGAUUAGAAGACGAUCCCAUCACCUUCUGCGAUUGUACUGCAAGUUCAUUGGUGAUUAACAGAUCACUAUAGAGAGAUUACUGCAGAUGGAAUGUUCCUUUCAGUUCUAACUUGGGAUAUAGGUUAUGGGUUUCAGGGAGUUCUCUUGCAAAAAUGAGGUGCAAAUUCAAUCAGUAUUCUGCUACCUGAAAGUCAAUCAGGAUUGAAGACCAACCCAAAAUGUGUUCUACCUAAAAUAUAGAGUUAGUAUGGAUGACAAAUUGGCAGGACCUAUUAGUCAGACAAAUUAUAUUUGAUAAUGCAUUUUGCACGUGAGCUUCAAAAGGGGAAGAUGAGACCAUUGACAAUGCUUCUAUAUAGUUGUGAUUUUAUCAGAACUUUUAUUAGAUAGAACUUAAAUUUGUGGUGGUUAUACUUUAAUGUCUACUCGUAGUUGUAAUGUAAGAAUAAUGCUAGAGACCCCAAAUUCGGUACCUAGAAUUCUUCCCAAGUAACAUGGCGUUGAUGAUGUGUCAGUUUGGGAUGUUUUAGUUGUUGAGAUUAUUGUGAAUACUCGGGGCCUAUUAUAUUUUAUAGAGUUUAGUUAAUUAAAUCA